Pelobates cultripes (western spadefoot toad) is the source of this 103-nucleotide non-coding RNA. Lineage: Eukaryota; Metazoa; Chordata; Amphibia; Anura; Pelobatidae. The record is from the annotation of a GenBank genome assembly.
AUACAAAGCACAACUCAUUAAUAUUGCCAUAAAAAUUGUAAAACGAAAAGGAGAGCUUGGUAUUACAAUUUUUAUGGUAAUAUUAAUGAGUUGUGCUAUGUAU